This 243-nucleotide ribosomal RNA is filed under the name uncultured bacterium. RNAcentral's name for it is "partial 16S ribosomal RNA". It matches the Rfam family "Bacterial small subunit ribosomal RNA", at positions 791 to 1035 of the family's 1533-position model. The record is from RNAcentral.
UAGUCCACACAGUAAACGAUGAAUACUAACCGUUCGGGCGAAAGCGUCUGAGUGGUACAGCGAAAGUGUUAAGUAUUCCACCUGGGGAGUACGCCGGCAACGGUGAAACUCAAAGGAAUUGACGGGGGCCCGCACAAGCGGAGGAACAUGUGGUUUAAUUCGAUGAUACGCGAGGAACCUUACCCGGGCUCAAACGGCGGAGUGACGGCGCAGAGACGCGUCGGCCGGCAACGGACUCCGUCG